Molecule: ribosomal RNA, 253 nt
Filed under: uncultured bacterium
Lineage: Bacteria
Description: partial 16S ribosomal RNA
Rfam family: Bacterial small subunit ribosomal RNA
Source: RNAcentral
UACGUAGGGUGCGAGCGUUAAUCGGAAUUACUGGGCGUAAAGCGUGCGCAGGCGGUUCGUUAAGACAGAUGUGAAAUCCCCGGGCUUAACCUGGGAACUGCAUUUGUGACUGGCGAGCUAGAGUAUGGCAGAGGGGGGUAGAAUUCCACGUGUAGCGGUGAAAUGCGUAGAUAUGUGGAGGAAUACCGGCGGCGAAGGCGGCCUCCUGGCUUAAUACUGACGCUGAGGUGCGAAAGCGUGGGGAGCAAACAGG